RNAcentral lists this non-coding RNA (150 nucleotides) under Bacillus sp. (in: firmicutes). RNAcentral's name for it is "Bacillus sp. FMN sequence". It matches the Rfam family "FMN riboswitch aptamer (RFN element)". From Rfam's summary of the family: The RFN element is a highly conserved domain that is found frequently in the 5'-untranslated regions of prokaryotic mRNAs that encode for flavin mononucleotide (FMN) biosynthesis and transport proteins. This element is a metabolite-dependent riboswitch that directly binds FMN in the absence of proteins. The record is from RNAcentral. Lineage: Bacteria; Bacillati; Bacillota; Bacilli; Caryophanales; Bacillaceae. RNAcentral also lists the same sequence under 1 other name.
CAAUUCCUUCGGGGCAGGGUGAAAUUCCCGACCGGCGGUGAUCGCGCAAGGCGCGUAAGCCCGCGAGCCUCCCUGGCGGAAACGCCUGGGAGUGCAGGAUCCGGUGCGAAUCCGGAGCCGACAGUACAGUCUGGAUGGGAGAAGGAUGAC